GAUGAACGCUAGCGGCAGGCUUAACACAUGCAAGUCGAGGGGCAGCAUGACACGGAGAUUCGUCGAAGUGUUGAUGGCGACCGGCGCAAGGGUGCGUAACGCGUGAGCAACUUGCCCGUUCCUGGGGAAUAACCGGUGGAAACGCCGACUAAUACCCCAUAGCAUAACGAAGAGGCAUCUUUUUGUUAUUAAAGAAUUUCGGAAACGGAUAGGCUCGCGUGACAUUAGCUAGAUGGCGGGGUAACGGCCCACCAUGGCGACGAUGUCUAGGGGUUCUGAGAGGAAGGUCCCCCACACUGGAACUGAGACACGGUCCAGACUCCUACGGGAGGCAGCAGUGAGGAAUAUUGGGUCAAUGGGCGCGAGCCUGAACCAGCCAAGUAGCGUGAAGGAUGACUGCCCUACGGGUUGUAAACUUCUUUUGUUUGGGAAUAAAUGAUACUACGUGUAGUAUUUUGCAUGUACCUUACGAAUAAGCAUCGGCUAAUUCCGUGCCAGCAGCCG
This 504-nucleotide ribosomal RNA is filed under the name uncultured bacterium. RNAcentral describes it as "bacterial SSU rRNA". It matches the Rfam family "Bacterial small subunit ribosomal RNA", at positions 28 to 517 of the family's 1533-position model. The record is from RNAcentral.